AUGGAACUGGAGUGUGGUAAAGCGUGUUGGGAUCAGGGAGAAUGUUCUCCCUAUCCUCGGUCUGUGGAAGAACAGUGGAAGUGGAUUCUUGAUCAGGUGGUGAGUGGCAUGAAAGAACAGGACAGGGAAAGAGAAUUGGAUGCAAUAAAAAAGUUGUGGAAGGAAGCUCAGAAGCAAAAGAUCCUUCCCCCUCCAGAGGUGAAGGUUAAUUUAACUGAAGCAUUGUGUAAGUGGGAGUCAGAAACUCACACCAUAUUACAGGAUCAUCUUGAUAAUCCAAAAUUAGGUUUUAUAGCAGGAAAAUCAUGGCAAAAACAGGGUAAGGAGUUAGAAGAUAAGCGUCGAAGGAUACAUGUUGUGGCUGUGGCAUGUGCAGCGGUGCACAAUUGCAGAUCUAAAGGGGUAACACGAGUGCCUAAUGUCGAGAAGCCUCCAUUAGAAGAUUUAAAUCAGACAUUGACACUUAACACCACUCUUUACCCAUCAUUACCUACUACCUCUUCUCCACCCCCAUAUCAAUUGCCAGUUUUGACUAUUAACAGUGGUCAGUUAGAUGUGGACAGAGAUGAAGAACUGCAGGAGUUACGUGAAACAGUGUGGGACCUUCGGAGACAGGUCAGCAGGAUGAAACAGGGACAGGAAGAGGAUGGAGAUAAGUUAGGAAAAAAUGAAUUUAGAGAGGAAGCUCAGGUGGUUCGCCCUAAAAUCUCCCAACAAACUACAUUUAAAAAACAGGAUAGUCAAAAAUCUACAUUAAAUAUCUUUAAAACUUCUAGCAAUCAAAUAAAACAAGUAAAAAGAGUUGAUCCCUCAGGAGGAUUUGCCAGGGCUGACUGCAGGGAGGAGAAGGCAAGAUUGAUUUAUGGCAGUGAUAAAGAGGAGAGUGAGAAUAAGACAGAUAACUUCAAAAUUCCGGCUACAUUUAUUGGAGAAUUGGAGCGUCAGGAGCCUGUUGAAACUCAGACAGAAUUAUAUGAAAAGGAUCAGGGUUCAAGUACGGGAAAUUGUGAGUUAGAAUUGUGGGAGGAAAGUGAGUUGGCACAUGGGUUCCUUACGAGGUGUAAAGAGGAAUGGAUGUGUGCCACAGGGUGCCAUCCUGGCUCAGAUAAUUUGCACACCACUUUAUUCCGUCAGGCCAUAAUUUUAGGACUUCCACAACCAGCGAAAGAAGCCAUGGAAGGAAAUCCUGACCUUCCAGGCAGUAUAGCAGAUGUCAGGGAGAGACAUCUUUCACACCACAUCAACACAUUUAAAGUUAAACAACAGGGAAAGAAAGAGGGGGUGGUGACAGGGCAGGAACAGCUCCUAAAAAUGCAGUUAGAUGAGGCACAGAAAAAGCUUAAUGAUAAACGAAGGGAAGAGAAACAGAUGGUUCGGCGGUUUUUUUCGGCAGAUGCAGCCAGAUCCGGUAGGUCCGCAGCAAGAUUUUGUUCCUAG
RNAcentral lists this long non-coding RNA (1437 nucleotides) under Takifugu rubripes (torafugu). RNAcentral's name for it is "lncRNA (ENSTRUG00000032480.1)". Lineage: Eukaryota; Metazoa; Chordata; Actinopteri; Tetraodontiformes; Tetraodontidae. The record is from RNAcentral.